UUGUUGAGAUCUUGUGACUCUUAUCCGCAGGUGAUGUAUCGAUGGCCUUUCACAAGGUUGGCGGAUUAGCCGGAUAGGUAGAGAGAGAAGUAGAGAAAGCUAAAAGGAACUCUCAGAAGAUCCGCCUUCGAUUGCGAAGAAAAUAAAAACUUUAAUCUCCUUUUCUUUCACCCCCUUCACUCUCUCUCUUCUCCCAUUUCUGUGGCUCUAACAAGCGGAGCACUCUGGUUCUUCUCUAUCUAACCAGGUGAUCAUAGGGUUUUGAAGCUACUUUCAGAGAAGAGUGAUGGAAAAUGGGGUUGCUACCGAUGGUGAACCUCAUUUUGGAGAAACCGUGGCAGCCGAAGACGGGACUCUUAAUAUUAAAGUGGAAGAUAGGGUUGUUCAUGGGCAUCAUGAAUCGAAGGAUUCUGAAGGGGAAGUUUUUGUGGAGGCUCCAGAAGAAAUCCAUUCGCUGGAGUCACCUUUAAAUCUUGAUGCGGAGCAAGUUGUUAAUGGGGAGGUACAUGUAAUUGAGACUGGAGAUUCUGGUUCUUUGGGAGGGAAUGUAAUCCCCAACGGGAACCAUGAGACGGAAAAUUUUGAAGAGUCUAUUGGGCUUCCACGCAAUGAAUGUAAUGACACUGUUGAUGAGGUUGGAGUCGCAGAUGGAUAUGCCAAAGUGGAAGGUAGUGCCGAGGAAAGUUUGCCUGAGGUAUCAGAUGAGUUGGACAGUUUCGGUUUGGUUGGUAAUGAAGAAAAUGUUGUCAAUAUGGGCAAUGAUCAGUCUCAGGAGGGGGAACAGCAGCUCGCUGUUGAGAAAAUGACCACAGGUUUGGUUUUGGCAGAGCCUGUUGAUGAGAUUAGCUCUGCAGACGAAACUGGCAGUGUGGUAUGUGAUGACAAGGAAGUUUUGCCGGUGGAAUCAAAUAGGUUUGAUGAGAUUAGGCCGGCAGACGAAAGUGGCAGUGUGGUAUGUGAUGACAAGGAAGUUUUGCCUGUGGAAUCAAAUAGGUUUGAUGGUGGCGUUUCAGUUGGUGUUUCAGAAGCUGAGUUGAGGGAGGUUUCAGAUACUCUGGCUGAUAGAGAUACAGAACCUUCUAGGGAUGGGACUGAGGCAGAAAAGAGGAGUGAUCUAAUUACUGAGACACCUGAAAAUGGGGAUUUUGCUGACAUGAGUUUGGAGGAAUCACAUGUUCUUCAUGAAAAAGCAGAUGCUGUGCAAGUCGGACAGUUGGAGUCUGAUGUGGUUGGGCCUUCUCAUGGAGAUGAACCUGAUGAAUUGAUUGUGCAUGAAGACAGUGAAAGUGGUGAGUUAGGGGAACCUUCUGCAAACUUGGCUGGGGAAGGCGAGCAUCACCAGAGAGUGCAAUUGAAGAACUCUUCAACUGAACAAGAUCCUUCUCUCAAGGAGACUGGAGCUCGAGAAGUUGAAAUCCCACUCUCUGUGAAAGAAUCUGAUACUGUUAAAGCUGAUGCAGCUGAACCAGAGGAAAAAGAUAUACAAGAUUCUCAGCCUCAGUUUGUUGACAGAAAUAUCAAAGAAGGUUCAUCUGGCCUUACUGUGGUGGAGGAGCCUGCUUUUCAGGAAACCAAAAAGGUUGAGAACAGAGGACCAGAAAUUGAGUCUGCACGAAAUGUUGGUUCAUCUGCUGGAAGUUCCACAAAUCCUCCUCUUCCAACUCGUCCUGCUGGCCUUGGAAGUGCUCCACUGUUGGGAGCUACUCAUCGUGCACUGCAACAGUCUCGAGCAAAUGGAUCUAUACCUGUGCGUCCAUCUCAACUUGUUGAAGACCCUAUGAAUGGUGAGGCUGAGGAGAACGAUGAAACUCGUGAAAAACUCCAGAUGAUCCGGGUGAAGUUCCUGCGUCUUGCUCAUCGACUUGGUCAGACUCCCCACAAUGUUGUUGUUGCUCAGGUCCUAUACAGGCUAGGGUUAGCUGAACAGCUGCGAGGGAGAAACACAACUCGUGCUGGUGCCUUCAGCUUUGACACAGCUAGUGCAAUGGCUGAGCAGCUUGAGGCAGCUGGGCAGGAAGCCCUUGAUUUUUCGUGCACAAUCAUGGUUAUUGGAAAGACAGGAGUUGGUAAAAGUGCAACCAUCAAUUCAAUAUUUGAUGAAGUCAUGUUCAGCACUGAUGCAUUUGACAUGGGUACUAAGAAGGUUCAGGAUGUGGUUGGAAUGGUUCAGGGGAUCAAGGUACGGGUGAUUGAUACACCCGGCCUUCUACCUUCCUGGUCAGAUCAACGUCAAAAUGAGAAGACCUUGCAUUCUGUUAAACGUUUCAUCAAGAAGACACCUCCAGAUAUUAUUUUGUAUCUUGAUAGAUUGGACAUGCAAAGCAGGGAUUUUGGUGAUAUGCCACUUUUGCGAACAAUUACAGAGAUAUUCGGACCAUCUAUUUGGUUCAAUGCAAUUGUAGUUUUGACCCAUGCAGCUUCUGCACCUCCUGAUGGUCCGAAUGGUACUGCUUCAAGUUAUGAGAUGUUUGUAACUCAGCGUACCCAUGUGGUUCAGCAAGCAAUUCGUCAAGCGGCGGGGGACAUGCGACUCAUGAACCCUGUUUCAUUAGUGGAGAAUCACUCUGAAUGCAGAACAAACAGGGCUGGGCAGAGAGUCUUGCCAAAUGGCCAAGUCUGGAAACCACAUUUGUUAUUGCUCUCCUUUGCAUCAAAGAUUCUGGCCGAGGCAAACACACUUCUAAAUUUGCAAGAUAACCCACCAGGAAGGCCUUUCGCAACUCGAUCUAGGGUACCACCUUUACCAUUCCUCUUGUCAUCCCUUCUCCAAUCGAGGCCCCAGUUGAAACUGCCUGAGGAGCAAUUUGGCGAUGAUGAGGAUGGUCUUGAUGAGGACUUGGACGAGGCAUCAGAUUCUGAUGAAGAGACAGAUUAUGAUGAAUUGCCACCAUUCAAGCAUUUGACAAAGGCUCAACUGGCCAAGUUGAGUAGAGCACAGAAGAAGGCCUAUUUUGAUGAGCUAGAAUAUAGAGAGAAGCUUUUUAUGAAGAAACAGCUGAAGGAGGAGAGAAAGCGGCGUAAAUUAUUAAAGAAAAUGGCAGCUUCUGCUAAGGAUUUGCCAAAUGAGUACAAUGAGAGUGCUGAAGAAGAAAGUGGAGGAGCUGCAUCUGUGCCAGUUCCGAUGCCUGAUUUGGCCUUGCCAACUUCAUUUGAUUCAGACAAUCCCACUCACAGAUACCGCUUUCUGGAUUCCUCUAACCAGUGGUUUGUGAGGCCAGUUCUAGAAACUCAUGGUUGGGAUCAUGAUGUUGGCUACGAGGGUAUAAAUGUAGAAAGAUUAUUUGUGGUUAAAGACAAAAUACCCUUGUCCUUUUCUGGUCAGGUUACGAAGGAUAAGAAAGAAGCUAACGUCCAGAUGGAAUUAGCUGGUUCUGUCAAGCAUGGGGAAGGGAAAGCAACUUCAUUAGGUUUUGACAUGCAGACUGUUGGAAAAGACAUGGCAUAUACUUUACGCAGUGAGACAAGAUUUAGCAACUUCAGACACAACAAGACAGCAGCUGGUCUCUCAGUUACUCUCCUGGGUGAUGCCUUAUCAGCGGGAGUGAAGGUUGAAGACAAAUUGAUUGUUAAUAAACGGUUCCGGUUGGUUAUGACUGGGGGUGCAAUGACUGGUCGUGGUGAUGUGGCUUAUGGAGGCAGUCUGGAGGCAACCUUGAGAGAUAAGGAUUAUCCUCUGGGUCGUUUAUUGACGACUCUUGGACUUUCUAUUAUGGAUUGGCAUGGAGAUCUUGCAAUUGGAUGCAAUGUACAGUCUCAAAUACCACUAGGACGUGCGGCAAACCUUAUUGCUCGGGCAAAUUUGAAUAACAGGGGUUCUGGGCAAGUUAGUAUUCGUUUGAAUAGUUCAGAACACUUUCAGAUUGCUUUGAUCGGUCUUAUACCCCUCUUCAGAAAGCUAGUUGGUUAUUCUCAACAACUGCAGUUUGGUCAAUGAGCAGCAUUGUGGUAUAUGGUCAGCAGCUGUGCGGUAAUUAGGAAAUAACCCUCAAACGGUCUAUGGUCACUAAAUGAAAUGCGUAGGAGACCGAGACUGAGGCUGAUGCUGGGGCCAUCGAGCAGGGAGUGUGCUAUGAGGCCCGAGCAAUAUCAAUGGGAAUAUCAACGAUGGAAAAUAUGGACCAAACUCAUAGCCAGAGGAAACACGUUGGAGGCAGUCACAAGGUGGCCGUGGGAUCUAUUUGUCAUCAUACAUGCAUCAAACUACUAUUUCAGUAUUUUAAGGUCUGUAAUCUUCCAUCAUUCUUGCUGCUAAAGCAAGAAAAGAAAAACUUUCAUGCAAAAUGGAGACAUGAUAUUUGUAAUUCCCUUAUUUCCGGUUUAAGUAGUUGAGUCGCUAUUUUUUCA
This is an RNA transcript of Macadamia integrifolia, 4344 nucleotides long. It is a transcript of the gene named translocase of chloroplast 120, chloroplastic-like, with no coding region annotated. NCBI's taxonomy places the organism in Eukaryota, Viridiplantae, Streptophyta, Magnoliopsida, Proteales, Proteaceae. The transcript has 3 exons. The record is from RefSeq and is a predicted model, not a curated record.